AACGGGUGAGUAACACGUGAGCAACCUGCCCCAAGCUUUGGGAUAACCCUCGGAAACGGGGGCUAAUACCGAAUAUUACUUCUGGCCGCAUGGCUGGGGGUGGAAAGUUUUUCGGCUUGGGAUGGGCUCGCGGCCUAUCAGCUUGUUGGUGGGGUGAUGGCCUACCAAGGCGACGACGGGUAGCCGGCCUGAGAGGGCGACCGGCCACACUGGGACUGAGACACGGCCCAGACUCCUACGGGAGGCAGCAGUGGGGAAUAUUGCACAAUGGGCGGAAGCCUGAUGCAGCGACGCCGCGUGAGGGAUGACGGCCUUCGGGUUGUAAACCUCUUUCAGCAGGGACGAAGCGGAAGUGACGGUACCUGCAGAAGAAGCGCCGGCCAACUACGUGCCAGCAGCCGCGGUAAGACGUAGGGCGCGAGCGUUGUCCGGAUUUAUUGGGCGUAAAGAGCUCGUAGGCGGCUUGUCGCGUCGACCGUGAAAACUUGGGGCUCAACCCCAAGCCUGCGGUCGAUACGGGCAGGCUAGAGUUCGGUAGGGGAGACUGGAAUUCCUGGUGUAGCGGUGAAAUGCGCAGAUAUCAGGAGGAACACCGGUGGCGAAGGCGGGUCUCUGGGCCGAUACUGACGCUGAGGAGCGAAAGCGUGGGGAGCGAACAGGAUUAGAUACCCUGGUAGUCCACGCUGUAAACGUUGGGCGCUAGGUGUGGGGGGCCUCUCCGGUUCCCUGUGCCGCAGCUAACGCAUUAAGCGCCCCGCCUGGGGAGUACGGCCGCAAGGCUA
This 782-nucleotide ribosomal RNA is filed under the name Micromonospora saelicesensis. RNAcentral describes it as "bacterial SSU rRNA". It matches the Rfam family "Bacterial small subunit ribosomal RNA", at positions 101 to 896 of the family's 1533-position model. The record is from RNAcentral. Lineage: Bacteria; Bacillati; Actinomycetota; Actinomycetes; Micromonosporales; Micromonosporaceae.